Molecule: non-coding RNA, 1215 nt
Organism: Peromyscus maniculatus bairdii (prairie deer mouse)
Lineage: Eukaryota; Metazoa; Chordata; Mammalia; Rodentia; Cricetidae
Source: RefSeq, a predicted model, not a curated record
UAUACGUGGAGAAAUCUCAGGGUGCUAGGGAAUGUUACGACUUAUUCCCCAUUUAUUCUUCUUUUUUUUUCUUUCUAUACGUGUACAUGUCUAGUUACAUUUGGUGUUCUAGUUUACAGAUUACCAUAUGAAGCUAAUUUUGGGGACUACAGAGUAACUGUGCAGUGGAUGAUUAAAUGUGUGUAAGGAAAAAACAAGACGGCUGGAUGGAACUCCUAGGAGGGAGACGAGCCCUUGAAGAGCCAGGAGGCUGUGGGAUGGACCCUGCAUUCAGAUUAACUGUGGCACAACAUGGAAGAGAUCAAAAUGUCCAGUCAAAAUGCCGUCCAGGGUUGGGCAUUCUGUUCUUUUGGCAAGGAUGCCUAAGGAAUGGCAGAGCUGAUGUUUACUUCUAUAGUAUUACCAGGGAAAGAAGAGGUGGAGUCCAAAGCUGACCUCUAAGGCCACUGAUUUCUGUCUCUCUACCUAACGUUGUGUCACAGGUGGAACUGAAUCUUUUCUCAGCCAUUACAUACAUCUAUUCUGACAUUGUUCAAUAAGAGAAAACUAUUCCCAGUUUCUCUCCCCACCCCCAACACCCUGUGACUCCAGUGCUGGGCAUUGAACUCGAAACCUUGACCACCCUAGGCAAGCACCUUACCACUGAGCCACACCUCCUGCCCUGCGGCCAGCACUGUAGCAUGUGAUGGAGACUAAUUACCUUGUGAUUGCUAUCUAUAAUCUUUAUAUAUCUAUGCAAUGGAAUGCUACUCAGCUAUUGACAAGAAGGGAAACAAGUCAUUUGAAAAGCCUGGAUGAACCUGGAGGAUGUCAUGUUGAGUUAACUAAGCCUGACACAGCAGGACGGGUACUACAGAUCUCACUCAUAUGUGGAAUAUGAGCUGAACUCAUGAAAAUAGAGAAAGAAAGGAGUAGAAUCAGUGGGUCACCUGGAAUCGAGCAUCUAAAUUAUGCCUGAGUAAUCCCAGUCAGGUUUCCAUUUUCGCUGAUGUUACAAGUGGGAGCAGCAGGGAGAGAGGACGAGAGAGGAGAAUUGCGUGUGGAUGCAAUUUUGUCUUCCUACUUCUGCAAGUGGGCAAUCUCUUUGGAAAAGUAUUUUAAUUCUCUGAGAGGAAGAUGUUUCUAUUUUCACCACUGCUAGUAAAAUAUCAGACAAGGAAAUGGAUUUUUAAACAUUCAACCAAAUACAAUCUAUUUAAGUCAGCUAUAACUUCC